This is a long non-coding RNA of Toxorhynchites rutilus septentrionalis, 1038 nucleotides long. RefSeq lists it as uncharacterized. The record is from RefSeq and is a predicted model, not a curated record. The transcript has 5 exons. NCBI's taxonomy places the organism in Eukaryota, Metazoa, Arthropoda, Insecta, Diptera, Culicidae.
CGCAUCCUAUUAAAGUGCUUAGAUUAACCGGUUUUGAAAAACAUCUAAUGGAAUGUCUAUCUUAUCAUUUGGCGGUUUUAUUCAACCCUGAUCAGCUCAAGACUAGACAAGAAGCUACUUUUCUAGGAAACAAGAGACGCACAGGACAAAAAUAUAAUCUGACUUUAACCAUUCACAAACACCGCGGACUCCAAUCGACUCAAUCUCUAACAUGCGAAAAAUACUAUUAUCAAGGAUCGUCGACACCUGGAUUCAGAUCGGCUGCUGAAAAUACACCUAAAUUUUUCCCGUUGUCACCGACGAGCUCGUAAGAAUUAGUGCCUCUUCUAGAAACCACUGUGCAUGGAACAUACGCUGGACCUAAUUUGGCAUUAUAGGCGUUUCCUGCGGAAGAUAGUGCAAAAUUUCUACGGAACACAUUCUGACCAACAUGGCUUUCGCAAGAUUUCGACGAACAAUUUCGAAAAUGGAUUGGUCAAUAUUCCGUUUACGGUUUACUCGGUCUGAAGGCGAUAUUUCAUCUGUAUCCACCUCCCGAAGAUGCUCGUCUCCAUUCGAAACUAUUUCAUGCCCGAAUAGUACCCGGUAUGGAGUGAAUCCGGUGGACGCAUGAACGGUACGGAUGCAAGCAUUUAUGCUUCGGUUCAGUCUCUCUACGGGAUUAGCUUGGCUGUGGUGACGUGCAUUGGUCCAAUGUUUCACAUGAAAUCUCUCAAGGAAGGUUUGGAAUUCUUUGCUAACGAAGCUUGAUGCAUUAUCAGAAAUCAAAAUUUCUGGCACCGAAAAUUUACGGAACCACUGCUCUUCGAGAAGUUUAGUGGUCAAACUGGCUGAAAUUUUUCGAACAGGAAUAAGGACUGUCCACUUCGAGAAGAGAUCAAGCAUCACCAAAAGAUGAGCGUUUCCCGAUUUGCUACGGGGCAAGGAUUGAUGUUGUGAUGUAUUGGACGGCUUACUCACCUUACAGGUGACACAAUUACGGACAUAUUUCUGGACUGUAGAAGACAUUUUGGGCCAAAAAUACAGUUUUUUAAUUUU